RNAcentral lists this ribosomal RNA (222 nucleotides) under Triticum aestivum (bread wheat). Its description in RNAcentral is "partial small subunit ribosomal RNA". The record is from RNAcentral. Lineage: Eukaryota; Viridiplantae; Streptophyta; Magnoliopsida; Poales; Poaceae.
AAAAUUAGUGGAUGUAAAGAAAAAUUGUUAUCCGCUGGAGGAAAGGAAAUUCUGCUCAAAUCUAUUGUACAAGCUAUCCCAACUUAUGCUAUAUCCCUCUUUAUAAUUCCUAAUUUUUUUUGCAAAGAAAUCAUUGACGUGAUGUCGCAAUUUUGGUGGGGUGACGUGCACAGGCAGAAAAGGAUGCAUUGGUUGGCGUGGUGGAAAAUAUGUGACUUAUGA